Molecule: long non-coding RNA, 422 nt
Filed under: Vulpes vulpes (red fox)
Lineage: Eukaryota; Metazoa; Chordata; Mammalia; Carnivora; Canidae
Description: lncRNA (ENSVVUG00000022058.1)
Source: RNAcentral
CUACCACCCCUAGUUGUGAGUUAACUUUUUAAGGCAAAGUAAAAACAACAGUGAUGAUAUACUUUGUGAGGUAGAUUCUGUUAUUUUCUCAUUUUAUAGGAAAGGAAGCAGAGUUGAGCCAAAUGCUCAAGGUCACGGCUAGGAAGAGCCAGCUUCCAACCCAGACAGUUUGGUUCUGGCUCCUUCUCUUAUCCACUUCAUUCUGCUGCCUCUUCUUUCUGGAGUGUUCCCAAGAUGUAAACCAACCUUGGUCUUCAUUCUUCACUAGGUAGCUAUUUCUGUUAAGCUCCUUCAUCACUGAAGUCUCAAACUAGCACUCAGCUCAGAAGUCAGCAGUACGGAAGUAAGCACAUAGAUUUACAAAGUCAAACCCAGUGAAGCUGAGCAGUCUAGAGCUUAAAUUAGAAUACAGCAAAUUUAAA